AUGCCAUUAAAAUUCUGGGAUGAAGCCUUUCUCACCACAGUUCAUCUUAUUAAUAUUCUUCCCAGUAGAGUCAUCAACAAUGAAACUCCGGUAGAACGCCUUCUUCACACCAAACCCGAUUACAAAUCCCUCCGAGUGUUUGGCUGUGCGUGCUGGCCAAAUCUUCGUCCCUACAACAAUCGCAAGCUCCUUUUCCGGUCAAAACAAUGUGUCUUCAUUGGCUAUAGUCCACAACAUAAAGGUGUCAAGUGCCUUGAUAUAUCCAUGGGUCGUGUCUAUAUAUCCCGUGAUGUUGUGUUCGACGAGACUGUUUUUUCCUUUGCACAUCUUCACCCAAACGCCGGCGCUCUCCUCCAAAAGGAAAUCCUUCUUCUUCCAUCUCAUCUCACUGGGUUUGAUAAUGGGGAUGGUUUUACUACUAAUGAUCAAUUAUUGACUAAUUCUCCUACUAAUGGUGGUGAUGAGUUUUGUGAUGAAGCAGAAAAAAAUGGGACAGAAAAUGAUGAAGAAAUCAGCCAAAACUGUCAUUUUAUGCCUAGUGGGUGCAGCAGCAGCGCCAUCGAGGCGGAUCCGCCUCGGGAUCAGGGUGCAUCAGCCGUGGGAUCCGAGCGUGACGGGACAGACGAAUCUGCACCGAGCCCCGCGCCACGCCACGACAGCCGCGGUCCCGCGCCACGCCACGACAGCAGCGGCCCAGCCAAUCAUGGCGCGCCCGCGCGGAUGGACCACGCGCCGCCUGCGGCCGGUUGGUUCGGCCCCGAACCGCGUCACUACACGCGGCGCGCGUCUCGGCAGGAUCUGGGCGUGGAGUCCCGCGCCGCAUCUACGGGGGCCCACUCAUCAUCGCCCCAUCAUGAGCCGGACGCGGCGACUGGCACAGCUGCGGGAUCUUCUGUGCCGCCAUCCUCCAGUACUUCACGCUCUCUGGCCGCAGAAGAUCUUGUCUCGUUGCUCGCGCCUGUAGCACCCGACAGGUCGUCUUCGGGAUCUGCAGCUGUUCCAGGCGCCGGAUCCUCUGUGCUUGCCUCUUCGCCAGCUCAGACCAGACUUCAAAGGGGAGUAAUUCAACCCAAAAACUACAAACAUAUAGCAAAAUUUGGCUAUGCUUGUAACACACAUGAUGCAGAUACUGUUCCACAUACUGUAGCAGAAGCUUUGAAUGAUCCAAGGUGGAAAAAGGCCAUGGAAGAAGAGUGCGUGGCGCUUCACAAAAAUAAAACCUGGCAUUUAGUAUCUGCACAUCAAGGAAAAGGUAAAAAUGUGAUAGAUUGUAAAUGGGUUUUCAGAGUAAAGAAGAAGUCUGAUGGAACUAUUGAUCGCUACAAAGCCAGACUAGUUGCAAAAGGUUUUAAACAAAGGUAUGGCUUAGACUAUGAGGACACAUUUAGUCCGGUUGUAAAGGCUGCCACUAUUCGCCUUGUUUUGUCUAUUGCCAUGUCUAGGGGAUGGAGUCUCCGUCAGCUAGAUGUUCAGAACGCGUUUCUCCAUGGUGUUCUGGAAGAGGAAGUGUUCAUGCAACAACCUCCUGGGUUUGAGGACAAAAGUAAACCCCUUCACAUUUGCAAGCUUGAUAAGGCCUUGUAUGGUUUAAAACAAGCCCCCAGAGCAUGGUAUUCCAGGUUGAGCUCAAAACUUCAGGCACUUGGUUUUGCUCCUUCCAAAUCUGACACCUCAUUGUUCAUUUAUAAUAAGUCAAAUACCUCCAUAUUUGUCAUUAUAUAUGUUGAUGAUAUUAUAGUCACAAGUUCAUCAGAUGAGGCUGUCACAGGAUUGUUAAAAGAUUUAAAUUCAGAAUUUGCUCUCAAGGAUCUGGGAGACCUGCAUUAUUUUCUUGGCAUUGAAGUAAAGAGAGCAGGAAAUGACCUCUAUCUUACUCAAGAAAAGUAUGCCACUGAUCUUGUAGCCAAAGCAGGGUUGAAAGGUUGCAAGCCAGCAUUGACACCUUUGUCCAGCUCAGAAAAAUUGUCCUUGUCAGAAGGAGAACUCUUGAACCAAGAGGAUAGCACCAGGUACAGAAGUAUGGUUGGUGCAUUACAAUAUUUAACCUUGACUAGGCCUGAUAUUUCUUUUGCUGUGAACAAAGUAUGUCAGUUCCUUCAUGCACCUACUACAGUACACUUGACAGCUGCCAAAUGCAUACUUAGAUAUGUUAAAAAUACUUUGAGUAUUGGACUAACUUUCAGCAAGUCACCA
This 2193-nucleotide ribosomal RNA is filed under the name Triticum aestivum (bread wheat). RNAcentral describes it as "partial small subunit ribosomal RNA". Lineage: Eukaryota; Viridiplantae; Streptophyta; Magnoliopsida; Poales; Poaceae. The record is from RNAcentral.